GAUGAAGAACGCAGCGAAAUGCGAUAAGUAGUGUGAAUUGCAGAAUUCAGUGAAUCAUCGAAUCUUUGAACGCACAUUGCGGCCAUAGGUAUUCCUUUGGCCAUGCCUGUUCGAGCGUCAUUUACACCCUCAAGCCUAGCUUGGUGUUGGGCGUCUGUCCCGCCGUUCUCGCGCGCGGACUCGCCUCAAAGUCAUUGGCGGCGGUCGUGCCGGCCCCCUCGCGCAGCACAUUUGCGCUUCUCGGAGGCCCGGCGGAUCCGCGCUCAAGCAAGACCUUUCACGACUUGACCUCGGAUCAGGUAGGGAUACCCGCUGAACUUAAGCAUAUCAAUAAGCGGAGGA
RNAcentral lists this unclassified non-coding RNA (342 nucleotides) under soil metagenome. RNAcentral's name for it is "partial contains 5.8S ribosomal RNA, internal transcribed spacer 2, and large subunit ribosomal RNA". The stretch from base 1 to 120 matches the Rfam family "5.8S ribosomal RNA", at positions 35 to 154 of the family's 154-position model. The record is from RNAcentral.